This 858-nucleotide ribosomal RNA is filed under the name Pujadella villari. Its description in RNAcentral is "12S ribosomal RNA". The record is from RNAcentral. Lineage: Eukaryota; Metazoa; Arthropoda; Insecta; Hymenoptera; Figitidae.
UAUAAAUUUAAUUUAUAUUUGUUUUUAAUUUAAAAAUUUAUUGAUAAUAUAUAAAUUUUUGUUUAAUUUAAUUUUUAAAAAAAAUUUAAAUUUUUAGUAAUUAAAAUUAUUAAAAUAAAGGAAUUUAUAUUUUGUAAAAUUUUAUUAUGAUGAAUUAAUAAAGUGCCAGCAAUAGCGGUUAAACUUUACUAUAAAAAAUUAAAUAUAUUAAUUAAUUAAUUAAUUAAAUAUAUAAGUUAAAUAAAAUUUUUAUAAAAAAUUAAGGGUAAAAUUUUAUUUAUUUUUUAAAAAAAGUUUAUUUAAUUUAGAAAAAAUGAUUUUUGAGUAUUAUAAAUAUAAUAUAAUUAAUAAAGUUAAUUCAAUAAAGUAGGAUUAGAUACCCUAUUAUUUUAGUUUAAAUUAAAAUUUUAAUAAAGUAAAUUUUUUAAAGGAAAUAAAUAAAUUUGACGGUAUUUUAUUUUAUUCAGGGGAAUUUGUCUUGUAAAUUGAUAAACCACGAUAAGAAUUACUUAAAUUUUUUAUACUUAUGUAUAUUCAUUUAUAGAAUUUUUUAAAAGAAUUAAUUUUAUAAUUUUUAUAAAAAAAUAAUUUAGAUAAAUAUAUAGUUUAUGUUUAAGAGGAGGAUGAAUUACAAUAAAUUUGGUUUAUAAUAAAUUUUAUUUAAAGGGAAAUAUUUUAGGAUUUGAAUGUAAAUAUAAUUAAUUAAUUAUAUUGAUAUGUUAAAGUGUGAAAUAUGUACAAAUUGCCCGUCAAUUUAGUUAAUUUUUAAUUUAUAAUAAAUUAUUUUAAUUAUAAAUUAAGAAAAAAUUAAGUAAGUCGUAACAAAGUAAGGUUACUGGAAGGUGAUCUUAGAAUAAU